GACGAACGCUGGCGGCGUGCUUAACACAUGCAAGUCGAACGGAAAGGCCCUGCUUGCGGGGUACUCGAGUGGCGAACGGGUGAGUAACACGUGGGUGCUCUGCCCUGCACUUCGGGAUAAGCCUGGGAAACUGGGUCUAAUACCGGAUAGGGGCCAUCUUUAGUGUGAUGGUUGGAAAGUUUUUUCGGUGUAGGAUGAGCUCGCGGCCUAUCAGCUUGUUGGUGGGGUAAUGGCCUACCAAGGCGGCGACGGGUAGCCGGCCUGAGAGGGUGGACGGCCACAUUGGGACUGAGAGACGGCCCAGACUCCUACGGGAGGCAGCAGUGGGGAAUAUUGCACAAUGGGCGCAAGCCUGAUGCAGCGGCGCCGCGUGGGGGAUGACGGCCUUCGGGUUGUAAGCUCCUUUCGCUAGGGACGAAGCUUUUUGUGACGGUACCUAGAUAAGAAGCACCGGCUAACUACGUG
This 465-nucleotide ribosomal RNA is filed under the name uncultured bacterium. Its description in RNAcentral is "partial 16S ribosomal RNA". It matches the Rfam family "Bacterial small subunit ribosomal RNA", at positions 28 to 507 of the family's 1533-position model. The record is from RNAcentral.